Molecule: long non-coding RNA, 148 nt
Filed under: Monodelphis domestica (gray short-tailed opossum)
Lineage: Eukaryota; Metazoa; Chordata; Mammalia; Didelphimorphia; Didelphidae
Description: lncRNA (ENSMODG00000050438.1)
Source: RNAcentral
CCCAGUUGUUGUUGUUUUUUAAAUGUGGCUUUAUUUCCUUUCUUAUGGGUCAAGGUUUCAAAAAGUAGAAAAGAACGUGACUAAUCUGGGCUUUUUGGGAAGUCCUCUAACAUUCACCCCUGAGAGGCAGAAAAUGGCACGGCACUGA